CAGUCGUACCGGCGGAUAAUCAGCCUUUCGGGUGCGAUUCUGUGGGGCGUGAGGAGCUUAACCGCCUUCAUGUUUUGCAUAUUCGUGCACAUUUGGUGUACUUGUCCGUGUGGUGGGUUAACAUCAAUUUCGGUCGUCAUGAAAUGAUUGGAGGAAUGUAGCUUUGGUCUCGUAUCGAAGUGUUAUAGCCUUGGUAGAUGUGAUGACUGAGAUUGAGGAUUGCAACGGAUACCCUUCGGGGCUACCCGUCUGAUCUCUCGAUCGUUGCUCUGGU
This 274-nucleotide ribosomal RNA is filed under the name Rhizophagus intraradices. The record is from RNAcentral. Lineage: Eukaryota; Fungi; Glomeromycota; Glomeromycetes; Glomerales; Glomeraceae.